Molecule: unclassified non-coding RNA, 235 nt
Filed under: plant metagenome
Description: partial contains small subunit ribosomal RNA, internal transcribed spacer 1, and 5.8S ribosomal RNA
Source: RNAcentral
UCUCCGUAGGUGAACCUGCGGAAGGAUCAUUAAAGUUAUAGCCCCCCGGCCCCUCCGGGCUGGGGUCUUCUAUACCACCCUUUGUUUAUUACACCUUUGUUGCUUUGGCAGGCCUGCCCUCGGGCUGCUGGCUCCGGCCGGCUCGUGCCUGCCAGAGGACCUAGACUCUGUUUGUAUAUGAAGUCUGAGUACUAUAUAAUAGUUAAAGCUUUCAACAACGGAUCUCUUGGUUCUG